RNAcentral lists this ribosomal RNA (320 nucleotides) under uncultured bacterium. RNAcentral describes it as "bacterial SSU rRNA". It matches the Rfam family "Bacterial small subunit ribosomal RNA", at positions 68 to 373 of the family's 1533-position model. The record is from RNAcentral.
GGAGAUAAGGGGCUUGCUCCUUAUUUUAGUGGCGCACGGGUGAGUAACGCGUGGAUAAUCUACCUUGGAAUGUGGGAUAACAUUUCGAAAGGGGUGCUAAUACCGGAUAAGACCACGAUCUCUUUGGAGAUUGCGGUAAAAGGGGGCCUCUGUAUAUGCUUCUGUUUCAAGAUGAGUCCGCGUACCAUUAGCUAGUUGGCAGGGUAAUGGCCUACCAAGGCGACGAUGGUUAGCUGGUCUGAGAGGAUGAUCAGCCACACUGGAACUGAGACACGGUCCAGACUCCUACGGGAGGCAGCAGUGGGGAAUUUUGCGCAAUG